Molecule: RNA transcript, 7477 nt
Organism: Mercenaria mercenaria
Lineage: Eukaryota; Metazoa; Mollusca; Bivalvia; Venerida; Veneridae
Gene name: protein bicaudal D homolog 2-like
Exons: 5
Source: RefSeq, a predicted model, not a curated record
UAUUUACAUAAAUUAAAAAUGGAGGACAGAUCGUGAUUCAACGUAAAAUAUUUUCAUCCAUCCGUACUGGAUUUUCUUGAUUUUCGUACUGUUUCGAGACAUUCCUGCCACAAUGUCUGAACUAAACAUUAGCUCCCUCUCCGUUGAGGAACUUAAAACAGAACUAGGACGUUUGCAGCAGGAAUUAACAGAAACAAACCAAGAAAAAAUCCGAGCGGCAGAAUACGGAUUGGCCGUCCUUGAAGAAAAGCAUCAACUCGAGAGCCAUAUAGAAGAACUCGAGACUGAAAAAGAACACAUCAAAACUGAACUAGAGCAUGCCAAAGAGACGCUCAGUAAACAUCAAGGGAUUUUUAAGAAGCAAAAUGAGAGCGGCAUCAAUCUGGAGGACAGUAUCAUUCGCGAGUCAGUGUCAAGGGAGCAGGGGUAUCAGGAAAACAUACAGAGCCUUGAAGUAGAACUCAAAACCUGCAAACAGAACCAUGAAAGGCUCUCCUCUGAACAUACUGUUAUGGCAAACCUGGUGUCUGAUCUACAAACAAAAUGUGAUCAGCUGGAGGAUCAGAGAAGACAGUUGAAGAGCGAGUUGAAAGAGUACAAGAUCAGAGAAAACAGAAAUAUUGUCGACUAUUCAGAAUUGGAAGAGGAAAACAUAUCUCUGCAAAAGCAAGUGUCUGUGUUAAAACAAAGUCAGGUAGAGUAUGAAGGAUUAAAACAUGAAAAAAAGCGAUUAGAAGAAGAGUUGGAUGACCUGAACAUGCAGUUAGAUGAAAGUGUGUCAUUGAAAAAAAUAGUAGAUAAAAAUCUUGAAGAGGCACUGAAUGCAUUGCAAGUUGAAAGGGAGCAGAAACAUGCUUUGAAGAAAGAACUUGAUGCUAGAUUAACGCAGGAGUCAAUGUUCAAUUUGAGCAAUUUAGCACAACUUGGUGGCCUCAGUGAUGGUUUGAAACUGAAUAAUCAUGAAGGUGAAGGAGAUGAAGAAGAUCAACAUCCAGCACUCAAGAGAGUAGAGGCAGAUUAUGAACAUAAAGAAGAAGGUCAACCAAGGAAAGGGCCAGGCAAAGUCAAUGAUAUUCUUAGUGAAAUUCAACAAAAUGAAGUUAAGAAAUUAGAACAAAUGCUGGAGCAGAGUGAAGAGGAGAAAAUAGAACUGCAGAGAGCAUUAGACGAAGCAAAGAAAUUAAUUGAAGAUACACAGUCUGACCUUAUUGAACAAAAAGACAGAGCAAAUCAGUUAAAAGCACAAAUAAGUGCUGCUUUAGCCAGUGGGAGCCUUGAUUCAUCCCCAGAUAGUGAUGUUACAGAUUAUUUAGACCAACAAAUUGCAAAUGAAUCAGAUCAAGGAAAGAAAGCUUUACUCGAAAUGAAGAAAAAUUUGCUUAUGAAUGAAAAGAAAUAUUCCUCAGCUUUACAGCAGAUCAAUGAACUUCAGUCUGAAAUCAGUAACUUAAUGGACAAAAACAAGCAAGGAGGUCUUAAAGAAGGUGAUCCUGCCGUAACAGAAAUUCUUAAUCAACUUCAGGCUAAGGUCAAGCAAUAUGAAGAUGUUAUAAAAGACAUGAAUAAAGACUUGAAAACAUUUACAAAGAUUGCUGGAGAAUCUCAAGGUUCCUUAAAUAUGACACAGGAAGAAAUGUUGAAAGUUACUGAGGAAUUGGCACAGUUGUAUCAUCUUGUUUGUGAAGUUAGUGGAGAGACACCAAGUCGUGUGAUGCUUCAGCAUGCCAAAGCCAUUGACAAACUGUCAAAACAAGACUCCAGAGAAGGAAGUGAAGAACAAGGAGAGAAAGAGGAGGGAACUGCUGAAAAGGAAAGUGGUAAAAAGAGAAAAUCAAAGCCGAAAAAGAGCCCGGUUGAAAGUUAUGAGAACUCUGUGAAGGCUGAUGCAAAUUCCUGUCAAAAAUUAACUGAAACCAUUCUUGACCAGACAAAACAUUUGAAAAAAUCUGUUGAGCAUUUAAUGGAAGUUUCAAGAAAUAGAACAGACGACAAUGAACAGUCAGAUGCUCAAGAAUUACAAGAACAAAUUGUUAAGUUGAAAGCAAUGUUGUCAACAAAGAGGGAACAGAUUGCAACAUUAAGAAGUGUUCUCAAAGCCAAUAAAUCAACAGCUGAAUUUGCUUUGGCUAACUUGAAACAGAAAUAUGAAAAUGAAAAAGUAAUUGUAACAGAGACAAUGCUGAAAUUGAGAAAUGAACUGAAGGCUCUUAAAGAGGAUGCAGCCACUUUUGCUUCUCUGAGAGCCAUGUUUGCGCAGCGCUGCGAUGAAUAUGUCACCCAGCUUGAUGAAUACCAACGCCAGCUUGCAGCUGCAGAAGAGGAAAAGAAGACCCUUAAUUCUCUUCUACGAAUGGCUAUCCAACAGAAACUGGUGUUAACACAGAGACUAGAGGACUUGGAGUUUGACAGAGAGCGACGGAACAUGCGUCGACCGCAAGGGGGCGGCGGUAGAAACAAGUCUGGCGCUUCCAAAGUAAGUCACUACAAUGAUGAACAGUCAUAUAGUGGGCGCUAUGGGGGAGGCAGACACCAUAACUAUCAAAACCAUCAUAGCCAUUCAAAUCCAAGACGCGACUAUUAGAACUUGAUUACUCCAUUCCUGCAAGUACCAGUUUAUUUUGGGGAACAAUGCUUUUCAUUCCCUGGAAGUUGCUCCAGUUCCCGAGCUAACAUAAUGACCACAAGUAUGGAGUCAACUAACGGGACAUUGUAAAUGCUGAACAGAUAAAUGCAUUUGUUGUUUCGUCGGGGGAAGUGAGACUGUCCUGAUUGUGGCUGGUUUACCAAAGAAUUGAAUGGCUCAUGAGCACUGUCUCGUGUUUUAUCCCAAAGAAUUCAUCCACCAUAUUGAUAUUACAUUGAUCACGGUCUUGUAUCUGUGGUAGAAAACAUUUGAUAGUUGCUACUUUUUACAGUGAAUUUGUGCUUCAUAUUUGGUACUUUGGAAAACAUUUCUUAUAAAGGUUUCGACUGAGGUGGCUACAUGUUCUAGGUCACGAGAGAUGGAAGGUCGUCAUGGAAGCACAGUUCAGACUGGGGUAGCAACAUACUAGUGCCAGUGCAUUUAUGGUCAUGUGACCAUGAAGUAAACAGCUGAUUGGGUAUUGAACUUUCAAACCCAAAAACUGUUUGAUUUUAUAGAAAUAUCAUAAAAAUACAUUUUUUGUGUUGUGAUAAGAUUACUUGGAAACAAGUGUUGUUCAAAUAUUUGGUUUUACCAUUAUUCCUGAUGAAGAUGAAGAGUACACAUGCUGAAAUAUUUAAUUAAUAUUGUCUUGCAGAUAUCACAUAAAGAGCUUUAGGUAAUAACGCUUCUUAAUGUCAUCAUGAAUGGAUAAAAUAGAAUUUAAAAUAGCUGACUGUUUAAAACAUCUAAAAAAAUUGUAACUUUAUAUAUAUAUAUGAUUAUAUUAGAGUAGUAGAUGUUAUGUGUACUCAGAAUACAGUCAAGAAUGGGAGGUUAAUAGUUCAUGAGAUUAUUAUGGUAUACAAGAAAUGUCAUUUUUAUUCCCAUUUUUGUACAUAAACAUGACGUUGUUGUUAGAACCGCAGAGCUGUGAUGUUUUACUAUCUAUAGCAAACUUUUAAAACACCAAUAUGAAGUUAUUUUAAUUUUUAAAUUUCUUAAAAAAAAGGUUUAAGAGUUCAAUAUCGUAGUAAUUUACUAUUUAGUCAGAGAUGUCUUGAUAAGUAAUAUCGAAAAUAAAUUUCAAGACAUGUAUAUUACUUGGAGAAUAAAACGUAACAUUGAUUUGUUACUGUGAAAAGCGGGUUUUAAUUAAUUGGUGCAAUUUUAGAGUAAGUAAGGUUGGCCGUUUGGGUGUUUAAAAUUAUUUUGUUUAAAUUUUGGUUCACAGUUCUUUUAAUUCACAUUAUAUUUCAUUUACUUUCAUUUCUUUUAUUAAAGAUGCCUUUUAGUUGAUUUCUUAAAGGUGCUUUUAUGUUUUUUGUUUUACCUAUUUAUCAAAGCUUCCUUUAAUGUACUUCUCACCGUGUAAAGCAGCUUAUAAAGUAUUUAUUCUGUGUUAUAAUACAUUGUAAGAAUAUCGGAUACAGAGCGUUUUAACUGUAGAAAAGAUCAUUAAAUAUUUACUACAAAGUAUCUAGCCCGCCCGCUUAGCUCAGUAGGUAAGAGCGUUGGUCUACGGAUCACGGGGUCGUGAGUUCGAUCCUUGGUCUACGGAUCACGGGGUCGUGAGUUCGAUCCUCGGGCGGGGCAUAUGUUCUCCGUGACUAUUUGAUAAACGACAUUGUGUCUGCAAUCAUUAGUCCUCCACCUCUGAUUCAUGUGGGGAAGUUGGCAGUUACUUGCGGAGAACAGGUUUGUACUGGUACAGAAUCCAGGAACACUGGUUAGGUUAACUGCCCGCCGUUACAUGACUGAAAUACUGUUGAAAAACGGCGUUAAACCCAAAAAAAACAAAACAAACAAACGAAGUAUCUUUUUAACAGUUCCAUAGAACUGCCCAAUGUGGUGUUCUGUCGGAUUUCUAAGAUUUAAGAAAUGAUAAUAGAUGAUUAAGAAACAGGUGCUUUAUAUAAUUGGUACAACAUUUGACAACGCUUCAAGGUACAUCAGAGGGGAAAAGCUUUUCCCUUAAUGCUUUUCCUAUGCUUACCAUGGCAUGAUAUAUUUUUCCUGUGAUAAUAUAUUUAAGUUUCAUCAUUUAAAUUAUAAUCUCAUUGUAUUAAAGUUUUCUAUUUAUGUGAAAGACUGUUUGACAGUUGCUUUGUUACUACUAAUACAUCUUACUAAACAGAUACACUGAUAUUUACACUUUAAUAUAGGGGUAUUCUACAAAAUUUGAAGAAAAAAUAUAUAAUUUUUUAGCUCACCUGUCACAAAGUGACAAGGUGAGCUUUUGUGAUCGCGUGGCGUCCGUCGUCCGUCCGUCAGUCCGUAAACUUUUGCUUGUGACCACUCUAGAGGUCACAUUUUUCAUGGGAUCUUUAUGAAAGUUGGUCAGAAUGUUCAUCUUGAUGAUAUCUAGGUCAAGUUCGAAACUGGGUCACGUGGGGUCAAAAACUAGGUCAGUAGGUCUAAAAAUAGAAAAACCUUGUGACCUCUCUAGAGGCCAUAUUUCUCAAUGGAUCUUCAUGAAAAUUGGUCAGAAUGUUCAUCUUGAUGAUAUCUAGGUCAAGUUCGAAACUGGGUCACGUGGGGUCAAAAACUAGGUCAGUAGAUCUAAAAAUAGAAAAACCUUGUGACCUCUCUAGAGGCUAUUUUUUUUCAAGAGAUCUUCAUGAAUAUUGGUCAGAAUGUUCACUUGAUGAUAUCUAGGUCAAGUUCGAAACUGGGUCACGUGGGGUCAAAAACUAGGUCAGUAGGUCUAAAAAUAGAAAAACCUUGUGACCUCUCUAGAGGCCAUAUUUCUCAAUGGAUCUUCAUGAAAAUUAGUCAGAUUGUUCAUCUUGAUGAUAUCUAGAUCAAGUUCGAAACUGGGUCACGUGGGGUCAAAAACUAGGUCAGUAGAUCUAAAAAUAGAAAAACAUUGUGACCUCUCUAGAGGCCAUAUUUUUCAAGAGAUCUUCAUGAAUAUUGGUCAGAAUGUUUACCUUGAUGAUAUCUAGGUCAAGUUCGAAACUGGGUCACGUGGGGUCAAAAACUAGGUCAGUAGGUCUAAAAAUAGAAAAACCUUGUGACCUCUCUAGAGGCCAUAUUUCUCAAUGGAUCUUCAUAGAAAUUGGUCAGAAUGUUCACCUUGAUGAUCUCUAGAUCAAGUUUGAAACUGGGUCACGUGCGGUCAAAAACUAGGUCAGUAGGUCUGAAAAUAGAAAAAAAUUUGUGACCUCUCUAGAGGCCAUAUUUUUCGCGGGAUCUUUAUGAAAAUUGGUCAGAAUGUUCACCUUGAUGAUAUCUAGGUCAGGUUCGAAACUGGGUCAUGUGCGGUCAAUAACUAGGUCAGUAGAUCUAAAAAUAGAAAAACCUUGUGACCUCGUUAGAGGCCAUAUUUUUCAAGAGAUCUUCAUGGAAAUAGGUCAGAAUGUUCACCUUGAUGAUAUCUAGAUCAAAUUCGAAACUGGGUCACGUGCGGUCAAAAACUAGGUCAGUAGGUCUAAAAAUAGAAAAACCUUGUGACCUUUCUAGAGGCCAUAUUUCUCAAUGGAUCUUCAUGAAAAUUAAUGAGAAUGUUCAGCUUGAUGAUAUCUAGAUCAAGUUCGUAACUGGGUCAUGUGCGGUCAAAAACUAGGUCAGUAGGUUGAAAAAUAGAAAAACCUUGUGACCUCUCUAGAGGCCAUAUUUUUCACGAGAUCUUCAUGAAAAUCGGUGAGAUUGUUCACCUUGAUGAUAUCUAGGUCAAGUUUAAAAGUGGGUCACGUGCCUUCAAAAACUAGGUCAUUAGGUCAAAUAAUAGAAAAACCUUGUGACCUCUCUAGAGGUCAUAUUUUUCAAUGGAGUUCAUGAAAACUGGUCAGAAUUUUUUAUCUUGAUGAUAUCUAGGUCACAUAUGCUCAAAACCUAGGUCACUAUGACAAAUAAUAGAAAUAGCGACGUCAUACUCAGUUCAACACUGGGUCAAGUGGGGAUAGGUGAGCGAUUCAGGACCAUCAUGGUCCUCUUGUUUUUUUAUGUAACACAAAAAUUUAUGAUAUUAUGCUGAUAAUUCUUGUGUUCAGCUGUUUGUGUUCUAUGAACUUUAUCUGCUGGAGUGUUUUCCACAUAAUCAUGCUAUUCUUGCAUCUGAUUGGUCAAUUGACUAUAAAUGCUGAAAUCUGAUUGGUUUAUUUGAUACUGACAUUCUAUUGGUUUAUUUUGCUAUAUAAGGCUACCUCAAGAUGUAAAUAUUGAAUCUGAGUAAUGUCAUGUUACUAGAAAUCAGAAUGAAAAAAAAAUGUAAAAUUCAAACAAGCGAGAAAGGUGUUACUUCAAAAUUACUAUCGAAGCUUGUUGGUUAAAUUGAUUUAUACCCAUUGAUUGAAUUGAUGUAAUGAAUAAAAAGAUCAAUUAAAAUUAACUGAAAAAUUCUUAGAAUCAGUUUUGACAUAAUUUAUUAUUGAGCCUUUUAUCAUUCUAUAUGUAUAUAUAUCUAGCUUUUUAUGGGAAAAUGUUGAUGACUGUUUUCUUGUAUACAAAUUGUGCUGUAAUAUUUAUAUGCUUCAGUUUCUUUAGUUCUAAAUUUUAUUUAAGUUGCUGGUUAUUUUUAAAGAGAAAGAAAGUUUUUAUGUUUAUGUCUUAUUUUAUGGUGAUAAUACAGUUAAAUAUAUGCAAUGUUUUUAUAUAUUUACAUACUGUUGCGUCUUAGAAUAUGUAUAAUCUCCAUUUCAAAGAAUUUACAGUAGUUGUACAUUUUAAAGGAAAAGUUUAUAUUUUAGUUGGGUUGGGCUUGAGCUGAAAAUUGCAUCAAUUAUCAAAACAAAAUUUAGGCAGAGUGCAAGUUUUGUUGAAUAUGUGUGAUUAUGUAUGCAUGAAUGUUGCUAUGUAUUAUCAUAUUUCUAUGCUGUGUCAAAGAUUACAGAAAAUAGAUGAAAAUGAACA